AUGGAGCUGUAAUCAUCA
RNAcentral lists this microRNA (18 nucleotides) under Corchorus olitorius. RNAcentral's name for it is "gga-miR-6713-". Lineage: Eukaryota; Viridiplantae; Streptophyta; Magnoliopsida; Malvales; Malvaceae. The record is from RNAcentral.